ACGUACACUCCUACGGGAGGCAGCAGUGGGGAAUAUUGCACAAUGGGCGCAAGCCUGAUGCAGCCAUGCCGCGUGUAUGAAGAAGGCCUUCGGGUUGUAAAGUACUUUCAGCGGGGAGGAAGGCGAUAAGGUUAAUAACCUUGUUGAUUGACGUUACCCGCAGAAGAAGCACCGGCUAACUCCGUGCCAGCAGCCGCGGUAAUACGGAGGGUGCAAGCGUUAAUCGGAAUUACUGGGCGUAAAGCGCACGCAGGCGGUCUGUCAAGUCGGAUGUGAAAUCCCCGGGCUCAACCUGGGAACUGCAUUCGAAACUGGCAGGCUAGAGUCUUGUAGAGGGGGGUAGAAUUCCAGGUGUAGCGGUGAAAUGCGUAGAGAUCUGGAGGAAUACCGGUGGCGAAGGCGGCCCCCUGGACAAAGACUGACGCUCAGGUGCGAAAGCGUGGGGAGCAAACAGGAUUAGAAACCCUAGUAGUCCCA
This 477-nucleotide ribosomal RNA is filed under the name uncultured organism. RNAcentral's name for it is "partial 16S ribosomal RNA". It matches the Rfam family "Bacterial small subunit ribosomal RNA", at positions 329 to 797 of the family's 1533-position model. The record is from RNAcentral.